Long non-coding RNA from Hemicordylus capensis (graceful crag lizard), 711 nucleotides. RefSeq lists it as uncharacterized. The transcript has 2 exons. NCBI's taxonomy places the organism in Eukaryota, Metazoa, Chordata, Lepidosauria, Squamata, Cordylidae. The record is from RefSeq and is a predicted model, not a curated record.
AGUGGGCUAGGAUAGAAACAAUAUGGGGCCAUUCGGAUGCAGAGGUUUUUUUUGCACUGCUUAUUUUAAUAUUUGAUACUCUUUGGGGGGUGGGCCCAAGUAUUAAAGUGUUUAGUAUGCAAGAGGUUAAAAUUAGGACAGGCCCAUUCUACCAUUCAGUAAGUUCUCUUUCAAUAUGAAGAUGAGGCAUGCAAGGCAACAGAAUAAAAUUAGUUAGGAUUCCUAGUGCACAUGCCUGCAGAUAGAGGCAGGCACUCAUAUCCACUCCCCUCACAUGUACCUAUUUCGCCGUUCUCCAUGUGUCUGAUGUCUGGCCGCAGACGACAGUCAGUGGGAGCCAAUACUUCUUCCAUGCCCUUUUCUAGCUCAUUAAGACUGACAGCAAAACUGGUGAAAUUGUACAUCUUCAAUAAAAACAAGAGAAGGAAUAGAUUGUCAGCCUGCAUUGAAAUCUGACUCUCCGGUAAAGUUCUGCUAUGCUAUUCCACACCAGCACUACACAAGACGGUGAUGAUAAACAUCUGAUUCACAGCUGGCAACUCCCAAAAACAAACUGAUUAAGAUUUUAUCUCAGGUACAUUAAAAGCAGAUCUUGAUGCUUGGAGAUUUGUGAUCAACAGUGUGAAGAACAAGUGAGAAGCAAAAUGAAAAACUGAUUGUUUACAGAAGGAUUCUAUUAAAGGAUGUAUUAAAGUUUGAAUAGUCAGUGUA